CUUCAGUGAUGAUACGAUGACGAGUCGGAACAGGACCCAGCCUGUCUCUGGGGUCCUGGCUCAGGGGCACGUUCUGUGUCUCUGGGUUCAGUCCCCAGGGCAGUGGGUCCUCAUCGCUUGAUGACAUAUGAGGCAUUUGUCUGAGAAGG
Conger conger (European conger) is the source of this 149-nucleotide small nucleolar RNA. Lineage: Eukaryota; Metazoa; Chordata; Actinopteri; Anguilliformes; Congridae. The record is from RefSeq and is a predicted model, not a curated record.